UACUUGUCUGCAUGUAUUUUUAAUUUGUUAUAUACGAACUCAACCUCACCUGCAACCAGGUUGACAACAGGUGGAUACAGUUAACCAUCGAGAGUCCAACAAUAUUUCUAAUACUUAUAAUCGAAAAAUCAAAUAAACUUUAUAUUUAAUUUAUAUUAAUUGAUUAACUAAGUUCCCGUUUUAGACCUAUAAUGAAAUACUUGCUAUUAUAUAGUACAGACAUGUAGGACAUAAAUAAGAAAAUGGUCUCUAUUCAUUUUAUGACUAAACCAAAAAGUUAAAAAUUACUAUCCCUUGAAUCCGAAUACAACAACAUAAAGCAAUGUCAAGUCCAUGGCCGGCUUCAACAUUUGAUAGACCUCGGGCCAAAAAAAAAAUAAAAGGCCCUCGAACAUAUAAAAACAUGAAACUUACAAAAUUAUUACUACGAUUAGAUACUAAACAGGAAUGUUUACCACAAGCAAACACAUAUAAUAAUUUGCAACUUCUGUGUAUAGUGUAUUAAUGUAACCAACAACUUUUUAUUAUUUUUAUUAUCUAUAUAAAAGGUUCAUGAUUUUAAUUUUCAUUUUCAUUUUCUUUGAUCCCAAAUUUAUUCAUAGAACUUUUAUGUGAUUUUAUAAACAAUUCUGCUUAUUUUUCUUCUUGAUGUUUUGAUAAGUAAUCCCCAGUCAUAAUCUAAGCUAUAUAUCAAAUAAAAAGAAAAAUAGCACCUUACAAUAUGAACUCCCAAAGAAAUGUUGAAUCUGAAAUUGUAAAGAACCAACAAAAAAUAGUUGCUCUAUUCAGCAUACGCUAUUAGAAAGCAUAUCUAAUACAUCCAUUAAAUCAUCACUGAAACAAAUUAGGAACAAUAGAUGUGGAUAAACACAUAAGGAGACAAAAGUAAAUUUGUAAAUGUAUAGAUGUUCGAUAAUAUCGUAGUGUAUUUUAUUACAUAUUAGAAAUUGAAAUCAUGUUUGGACCGUUUGGUAUAGUUCAUUUUGGGAUUUUGAAUAUUUCAGAUUCUAUCAAAUAUCCAUCUAGGUUCGAGUUCGGUUCGGAUAAAGCCUACAAACCGAAAUAUCAUAAAAUAAUAUCCAUUUGAUAUUUAUGUCGGAUUCAGAUUAGUUCAGAUUCAUUUUUAUCAGAUCGGAUUCGGUUCAGAUUUUCGGGUUCAUAUUAUUUUUCCAGUCCUACAUUUUUUCUUUUCGAACAUCAACAUUACUUUAUGUUUAAAGUUCAACUAUAUUAACUGUAUUAUGACUAUCAACUAUUAAUUCUAUUUUUAUUGAAUAGAUCAAUGAAAACCAAUUAUGAUUUUUCCCUUUGACCUAACCAACUUCAAAACAAAAUGAUAUACUAGGAUCGCUAACAACUACCAAAUGGAUCAUAAAAAUUAUCAUUCUCUUUCAACAUAUUUGCAUCUUCAUAUAUUUGGAAAUAUUUUAUUUACUAAAACUAUAAAAUUAAUUUAAAAUUCAUUAAAAAUAAAACAUACGAACCCGGCGCGUAGCGCCGGAAUACCACUAGUCUUAUAUAAUAAAGGAGACUUUAGUCUCUCCUCCUGCGUCCACAUCAUCAGAGAGGUAAGGACUUUUUGUGACACUUGGCAGCUCAGGAGUGGACCGGUGUUUCUCACGCUCUCACUUCCUUCUCGCUCUCACGCUCUCUCUUCCUCCUCGCGCGUGGCUUUUAAUUUAAUUCUGUAUUUUUGAUUUUCCUUUUAAUCCAACAAGCUACUUAUUAGUUUAUUUAAUUCCCCUUCUCUUUCCACGAUUUGGGCAUGGAAGCGAUGGAAACAGCGAUUCCCCCCCCCCUCCGAACAAAGCUCUGAGUUUCACGGGGGUUCAUGGCACCAGAUCUUUAGGUUCUCUCAAAGGUAAAGGUUCUUCAUGGACUUCGUUUAAAUCGAGUUAGAAUGGGGACAAAAUGGAUUGGGAAGGGACAUGACUAGAUUUGAUUUUGAUUUGAAAUCUGGUGAUUUAAGUAAGGUGAGAUGCGAUUCAGAGUAUUGGUUAUAAUUACGACUAUCGAAUGGUAAAGAAGAUCGAGUUAGCUGGUGCAAUUGACGAUGAUAUAAUAAAUCCAUUUAAAGACUGUUCAGUCUCCACGGUUCUAUAUCUUUGUACUUUCUUCCUUUUGACGUGUAUUUCUGUCUGUGGAUAUGUGAUAUGUGAUAUUGAUGUUUUGUUAUUUAGUAGUAGGUUAUGAGCUUAUGAUGCUGAUUUUGCUUAGGACAAGAAUGUCUUCAGGGAUGAUUGCCGAGAGAAAUCAAGUUUUGCAGAAAAAUAAGUGUGGUAAGAGAUGCCAUAACGUCAUAUCUUUCGACUUUAUGCCGUUAACAGAAAACACCUGAAAUCAACUUGGUGUACUUAUAUCACACCUCGUGGAAGAGAAACAUGAUAUUGAUGAUUAAUGUAAUUUGUUAUGUAAUUAGUUUUUAUAUAUGAUAAGUUAA
Long non-coding RNA from Brassica napus (rape), 2440 nucleotides. RefSeq lists it as uncharacterized. Lineage: Eukaryota; Viridiplantae; Streptophyta; Magnoliopsida; Brassicales; Brassicaceae. The transcript has 2 exons. The record is from RefSeq and is a predicted model, not a curated record.